RNAcentral lists this unclassified non-coding RNA (1704 nucleotides) under Hevea brasiliensis (rubber tree). Lineage: Eukaryota; Viridiplantae; Streptophyta; Magnoliopsida; Malpighiales; Euphorbiaceae. The record is from RNAcentral.
CUAAGAAUAAGGGGAUGAGGACGACUUUACUCUGUUAUGUGAACGAAGAUUUGCCACUUCCAUAUAUACAGUAAACUCGACAAUGGAAAAUUCUCCUUCUUUCAAGGUUGGAUUUUUCUUAAUCAAUAAUUUACAGUCACUGUUAAUUGUUUGUCAUUGCAUUCAUUAGCUUUGCUCUUAGAAAGUAUGCUUCUUUUUCUGUUCUUGUAAGCUUGUUUUUGAAGCACUUUCCUACGUGAGAUCAGAUAGGUGGAUUUGAAUUCUAUAAUGAUCGAUUUUCAAACCUCUUUUUCGUGCAGUUUAAACCUUUAAAUGCUUGAGAUUGAAAGGAUGUUUAAAUGCGUUACAUUCAAUGGUAGUCGCUUUGUUUUGACACUUAAGGUGUUUGUUCUAUUGCUUGAAUGAAUACAUUACCAAGCUUUAGUAUUUUUAUAGGGGCAGUUGGGAUACAAUAUAGUUUAAGCACUGCAUCAAAUGGUCUAAUCUAUCUCCUGCGGACGACCUAUUAGGAUUCGGAUUCUUUCCAAAACUAGAUGAAGCUUAUACAAUACUCAAAGAGUACAGUACACUAUUUAUCUAUGUCAUCUGAAAGAGUGAAACCAUGCUUCAUAUGCUUUCAUGAUUUUUAUACUAGGAUAACUGCAUAAAAUGCAGCUAGGAUUUUAUCUCGAUCUAAAGCUCUUAUAUAUGACAAGCUAUUGCUUCAAUUCUCAGUAAAAAGCAAACAAGCGAAGAGUCCCAGUUUAAAAGUCUACACCUAACCUCCAAUAAUGCUUGUUAUUCUUCCACAUAUGUGGUAUUUCUUAUUUGUCUCCUUGUAUGUACUCUAACCAAGUAGAAGUCUAGCUUCCAGCAUCCUUUGUCUGUUAACCCUGGCAAUAAAAUCAUCAGCCCUUUUCUUCAACUCCUCAAUAGGCAAACAAAACUCUUCUCCAUCUAAAUUUUCUCUUUCAUUUUCCACUUUUAAUUUUCUCUCAUCCCAAACUUUCACUUCCAUUUUUCCUCCAUCAAAAGUCUUGCUAGCAUUUUCUUUAAACAAUAUCUUCUCUUCUCUGUCUUUCUUCUCCUGAAGGGUAGAAGAGGUUUGGAGGCCUCUUUUUUGGUUAAUAUACUCAUUAUAGUACACAUCACUAGCUGCUGGAAGAGAGUUUGAAGCAAAGAAUUUGGAUUCUCCAAUGAGGAGAAUGAUGAUGAGGUUGCCAAUUAUGAAAAUAAACUUGGGACUGAGGAAAACAGAACUGAAUUUUGGAAGAGAGACAAAGAGAGAGAGCUUGGUGGAAGAAAAUAGGGAGGGGAACCAAAAGGGGCUAGAACAGAAAAGACUGCAAGUUAACAGUGUCACAUACCGGAAAAAAUUGUGAAGGACUUGAUGCAUCUUUGACCUCUUAAUUGCGUGUACCUUUCGGAGUUGGAUCAGAUCCAUUUUAGUUGUAUAUUUGAUUUUGAGGAGGUGUAAGCAGGAGUUUGAGAUCUGGUUUGUAAUUUCACUUUAUCCUUUGGAGAAUGGAUUAGAGGCAAUUCUGAGGAAGGAGAUCAGAGGCUAAUUUCAAAGAAGAAGAUCAGAGAAUUGCCAUCUGACUGAGCAAAAGGCAUUGUAGACACUGGAUUAUAUAGUGUAGGAAAAGAGGUUAAUUUGGUAAUAUUUAUCCAUUCCCAUUGCCACCGUUUAAUUUGGUAAUAUUUAUCCAUUCCCAUUGCCACCGU